GACGAACGCUGGCGGCGUGCUUAACACAUGCAAGUCGAACGGAAAGGCCCCUUUGGGGGUCCUCGAGUGGCGAACGGGUGAGUAACACGUGAGUAACCUGCCCUUGACUUCGGGAUAACUUCAGGAAACUGGGGCUAAUACCGGCUAGGAAUCCUUGCUGCAUGGUGGGGGUUGGAAAGCUUCGGCGGUUUUGGAUGGACUCGCGGCUUAUCAGCUUGUUGGUGGGGUAGUGGCUUACCAAGGCUUUGACGGGUAGCCGGCCUGAGAGGGCGACCGGCCACAUUGGGACUGAGAGACGGCCCAGACUCCUACGGGAGGCAGCAGUGGGGAAUAUUGCACAAUGGGCGGGAGCCUGAUGCAGCAACGCCGCGUGCGGGAUGACGGCCUUCGGGUUGGAAACCGCUUUCAGCAGGGGCGAAGCUUGUGGUGACGGUACCUGCAGAAGAAGCACCGGCUAACUACGUG
Molecule: ribosomal RNA, 465 nt
Filed under: uncultured bacterium
Lineage: Bacteria
Description: partial 16S ribosomal RNA
Rfam family: Bacterial small subunit ribosomal RNA
Source: RNAcentral